CAGUAGCCGCGGUAAUACGGAGGGUGCAAGCGUUAAUCGGAAUUACUGGGCGUAAAGCGUGCGUAGGCGGUUCGUUAAGUCUGCUGUGAAAGCCCCGGGCUCAACCUGGGAAUGGCAGUGGAUACUGGCGAGCUAGAGUGUGUCAGAGGAUGGUGGAAUUCCCGGUGUAGCGGUGAAAUGCGUAGAGAUCGGGAGGAACAUCAGUGGCGAAGGCAGCCAUCUGGCCUAAUACUGACGCUGAGGUACGAAAGCAUGGGGAGCAAACAGGAUUAGAUACCCCUGUAGUCCCUGUCUCUUAUAC
RNAcentral lists this ribosomal RNA (301 nucleotides) under uncultured bacterium. RNAcentral describes it as "partial 16S ribosomal RNA". It matches the Rfam family "Bacterial small subunit ribosomal RNA", at positions 509 to 807 of the family's 1533-position model. The record is from RNAcentral.